RNAcentral lists this transfer RNA (98 nucleotides) under Thermodesulfovibrio sp. N1. RNAcentral describes it as "tRNA-Sec". It matches the Rfam family "Selenocysteine transfer RNA". The record is from RNAcentral. RNAcentral also lists the same sequence under 2 other names. Lineage: Bacteria; Pseudomonadati; Nitrospirota; Thermodesulfovibrionia; Thermodesulfovibrionales; Thermodesulfovibrionaceae.
GGGAGUGUAUGGGGUUCUGGUGUCCCUCCUGGACUUCAAAUCCAGUGUUGCCUGUGAGUAACAGGCAGGGUGGGUUCGAUUCCCACACACUCCCGCCA